Molecule: ribosomal RNA, 253 nt
Filed under: uncultured bacterium
Lineage: Bacteria
Description: partial 16S ribosomal RNA
Rfam family: Bacterial small subunit ribosomal RNA
Source: RNAcentral
UACAGAGGUCUCAAGCGUUGUUCGGAUUCAUUGGGCGUAAAGGGUGCGUAGGCGGCGCGGUAAGUCGGGUGUGAAAUCUUGGAGCUUAACUCCGAAACUGCAUUCGAUACUGCCGUGCUUGAGGACUGGAGAGGAGACUGGAAUUUACGGUGUAGCGGUGAAAUGCGUAGAUAUCGUAAGGAAGACCAGUGGCGAAGGCGGGUCUCUGGACAGUUCCUGACGCUGAGACGCGAAAGCGUGGGGAGCGAACCGG